Molecule: ribosomal RNA, 603 nt
Filed under: Pseudomonas sp.
Lineage: Bacteria; Pseudomonadati; Pseudomonadota; Gammaproteobacteria; Pseudomonadales; Pseudomonadaceae
Description: bacterial SSU rRNA
Rfam family: Bacterial small subunit ribosomal RNA
Source: RNAcentral
CAUGCAAGUCGAGCGGAUGAGUGGAGCUUGCUCCAUGAUUCAGCGGCGGACGGGUGAGUAAUGCCUAGGAAUCUGCCUGGUAGUGGGGGACAACGUUUCGAAAGGAACGCUAAUACCGCAUACGUCCUACGGGAGAAAGCAGGGGACCUUCGGGCCUUGCGCUAUCAGAUGAGCCUAGGUCGGAUUAGCUAGUUGGUGAGGUAAUGGCUCACCAAGGCGACGAUCCGUAACUGGUCUGAGAGGAUGAUCAGUCACACUGGAACUGAGACACGGUCCAGACUCCUACGGGAGGCAGCAGUGGGGAAUAUUGGACAAUGGGCGAAAGCCUGAUCCAGCCAUGCCGCGUGUGUGAAGAAGGUCUUCGGAUUGUAAAGCACUUUAAGUUGGGAGGAAGGGCAUUAAUCUAAUACGUUAGUGUUUUGACGUUACCGACAGAAUAAGCACCGGCUAACUUCGUGCCAGCAGCCGCGGUAAUACGAAGGGUGCAAGCGUUAAUCGGAAUUACUGGGCGUAAAGCGCGCGUAGGUGGUUUGUUAAGUUGAAUGUGAAAGCCCCGGGCUCAACCUGGGAACUGCAUCCAAAACUGGCAAGCUAGAGUAUGGC